ACAAACAGUCUGCGUUAGAUUUUCUAUGCAUGUAACGUUAUAUUUCUGAUUAUAUGGUUCAUUAAUUGUUGUUGAAAGAAGAAUACUUCUAAUGAAAAUCAAGAUAACCCUUUCAGCCCAUGAUUUCUUCUAAAGAGUCCUCUUUUUUUUACUAGCAUGAAUUCAAGGGCCAUGGCUUAGCUUUCUUUAGCUUGCUACUUGGAGCAAAGCUUCAGUCAGUUACGCUUAUGCCUUCCUGCUUUAACUUUAUCAUUAUACUUGAUACCACAUGCUCUGUUGUUUGAAGAGAAAAAGGAGAAGAAGUAAUCAUCAUUUGGCAUUCCCAUGUCAGCUGCAGAUAUUCUUUAUUCAUUUCUUCAUAUUGAGGUAACCAUGAUGAUUCUGUAGUCCUAAUGUCCCGAUGGCUACAACCCAGCAACUUGGAUGCUUGUGGCUACUACACCUACUAUUGAAGAGAAAAUCGGUGAAGAUUUUGCUGAAUUAUACAGAGAAUCUAAUCAAUACAGGUUUCCCAAUUGAGGUCUUGUUUAAACACCAGCAAGAUCUUGCAAAAUACUCUCUUGUUUAUCUACAGAUCAGAGCGUUAAUUUGCAUUAGUGAACCAUUUUUUGUUUUAUUGCCUCAGGGAGGUGGAAGCUUCAAUUAUCCAUUUCAGUAAUCCGCCUGCUGGUUCAGAACCCUUGAAGUUUGCCUCAACAUAUGCUCAAGGCUCGCAGGCUCAGUUUUUUAUUUGCCUUUGGAAACAAAAUCUUGUAUACUGGAGAAGUCCACAAUACAAUGGUGUGAGGCUAUUUUUUACUGUAUUAGCUCAAUUGCUAUUAGGCUCGGUAUUCUGGGAUAUUGGUUCAAAAAGGGACUCAGCUCAAGCUUUAUUUGUGAUUAUGGGAGCACUAUAUUCUUCAUGCAUGUUUCUCGGGGUCAGUAAUGCUUCCACUGUACAGCCAAUAGUUUCAAUUGGGAGAACUGUUUUCUACAGAGAGAAAGCAGCAAUGUACUCUCCAUUAUCCUAUGCAAUGGCCCAGGUGACUGUCAUUGUGCUGAAGAAGCAGCAGCUUCUUUCGGAAAGAGCAGUUGAUGAAAAAAUUUGCAAUUCAAUGUUCAUUUGAUGAGGUUUGUUAUGUACUUUGCUCAAGACCACAUAUUUGUAUCAUAUUCUAUUUUGUUUCGUGGAUAUAUAAUUUGCCUCUUUUCCUCGAUAAGAUAAACAA
This is a long non-coding RNA of Populus nigra (black poplar), 1208 nucleotides long. RefSeq lists it as uncharacterized. Lineage: Eukaryota; Viridiplantae; Streptophyta; Magnoliopsida; Malpighiales; Salicaceae. The record is from RefSeq and is a predicted model, not a curated record. The transcript is spliced from 2 exons.